This 776-nucleotide ribosomal RNA is filed under the name uncultured Neocallimastigales. RNAcentral describes it as "partial large subunit ribosomal RNA". It matches the Rfam family "Eukaryotic large subunit ribosomal RNA", at positions 26 to 634 of the family's 3401-position model. Lineage: Eukaryota; Fungi; Neocallimastigomycota; Neocallimastigomycetes; Neocallimastigales. The record is from RNAcentral.
CGUCUAUAUACGUAUAGCAUAUCAAUAAGCGGAGGAAAAGAAACUAACUAGGAUUCCCUUAGUAACGGCGAGUGAAGCGGGAAGAGCUCAAAUUUGAAAUCUUCAAGGUUUUACCUUGACGAAUUGUAGUUUAAAGAAGUGUUUUCUGUUGGAGUUUUGGUAAAAGUUCUUUGGAAUAGGACAUCAUAGAGGGUGAGAAUCCCGUAUUUGACCAUUAUUUCCAACUUUGUGAUACACUUUCAAAGAGUCGGAUUGUUUGGGAAUGCAGUCCAAAAUGGGUGGUAAAUUUCAUCUAAAGCUAAAUACUGGCGAGAGACCGAUAGCGAACAAGUACCGUGAGGGAAAGAUGAAAAGAACUUUGAAAAGAGAGUUAAACAGUAUGUGAAAUUGUCAAAAGGGAAGCGUUUGACACCAGUGUUGUUUUCUCGAAAAUCAAUUAAAAAUGAGUAGGAUUUUGUGAUUGUUAUGACCUUAUCAGCUUACUGUACUUUUUUCUUAUCCUUUUUAAUGCACUUUUCGUUUAACAAGUCAACAUCAAUUUCUUUUGUUGUAAAAGAGUCAUUGGAAGGUGGCUUUCUUUUCGGAGAAAGUGUUUAUAGCCUUUGGCUUCUGCAAUCGGAGAGAUUGAGGUCUGCAGCGUAGAUCCUUCGGGGUUAGAUACAUUUGUGCUAAGCUAUAGCCUUUCAUAGACAACUUGUUGACUAUGAUCAGUCAUGUAGCUUACUCGCUUAUGCUAUUUUACCUACGCUUAGGAUGUUGAUCUGUAGUGCGUGCGC